RNAcentral lists this ribosomal RNA (256 nucleotides) under uncultured bacterium. RNAcentral describes it as "partial 16S ribosomal RNA". It matches the Rfam family "Bacterial small subunit ribosomal RNA", at positions 524 to 776 of the family's 1533-position model. The record is from RNAcentral.
UACGAGGGGGGCAAGCGUUUGUUCGGAAUUAUUGGGCGUAAAGGGCGCGUAGGCGGUUUGACAAGUCUGAUGUGAAAUCUCUGGGCUCAACCCAGAGUCUGCAAUUUAGAAACUGUCGGGCUUGAGUAUGGGAGAGGUGAGUGGAAAUUUCCGGUGUAGCGGUGAAAUGCGUAGAUAUCAGGAGGAACACCUGUGGCGAAAGCGGCUCACUGGACCAUAACUACGUGGAUGCACGAAAGCUAGGGGAGCAAACAGG